GACGAACGCUGGCGGCGCGCCUAAAACAUGCAAGUCGAACGAGAAGCCCGGGCUUGCCCGGGUGGAAAGUGGCGAACGGGUGAGUAACACGUGAGGAACCUGCCCUGAAGACCGGGACAACAUCGGGAAACCGUUGCUAAUACCGGAUACCUUCGAUUGAUCGCAUGUUCGAUCGAAGAAAUGGAUUCCGCUUCAGGAUGGCCUCGCGGCCUAUCAGUUUGUUGGUGAGGUAACGGCUCACCAAGACGACGACGGGUAGCUGGUCUGAGAGGAUGUCCAGCCACACUGGGACUGAGACACGGCCCAGACUCCUACGGGAGGCAGCAGUUAGGAAUCUUGCGCAAUGGACGAAAGUCUGACGCAGCGACGCCGCGUGCGGGAUGAA
Molecule: ribosomal RNA, 385 nt
Filed under: uncultured bacterium
Lineage: Bacteria
Description: bacterial SSU rRNA
Rfam family: Bacterial small subunit ribosomal RNA
Source: RNAcentral